UAAGGAAUAUUGGACAAUGGGCGGAAGCCUGAUCCAGCCAUGCCGCGUGCAGGAGGACGGCCCUACGGGUUGUAAACUGCUUUUGUAAGGGGAUAAACCCCCGCACGAGUUGCGGGGCUGAAGGUACCUUACGAAUAAGCAUCGGCUAACUCCGUGCCAGCAGCCGCGGUAAUACGGAGGAUGCAAGCGUUAUCCGGAUUUAUUGGGUUUAAAGGGUGCGUAGGCGGCCUGUUAAGUCAGAGGUGAAAGGUUGCGGCUUAACCGCAGACAUGCCUUUGAUACUGGCGGGCUUGAAUAAAGUUGAGGUAGGCGGAAUGUGGCAAGUAGCGGUGAAAUGCAUAGAGAUGCCACAGAACACCGAUUGCGAAGGCAGCUUACUAAGCUUUGAUUGACGCUGAGGCACGAAAGCGUGGGGAUCAAACAGG
This 425-nucleotide ribosomal RNA is filed under the name uncultured bacterium. RNAcentral's name for it is "bacterial SSU rRNA". It matches the Rfam family "Bacterial small subunit ribosomal RNA", at positions 355 to 776 of the family's 1533-position model. The record is from RNAcentral.